Lepus europaeus (European hare) is the source of this 1378-nucleotide RNA transcript. It is a transcript of the gene named CD47 molecule, with no coding region annotated. The record is from RefSeq and is a predicted model, not a curated record. The transcript is spliced from 11 exons. Lineage: Eukaryota; Metazoa; Chordata; Mammalia; Lagomorpha; Leporidae.
GAGCGGCGGCCGCGGCGGGAGCGAGCGUGCGCGCGGCCAGGCUGCCUGGGCGGCCGGUCCUGCCUGUGACUGGUGGCGGUUGCCCAUCUCGCCUGCAAGGAGGCGGCAGCGGCUUCUCCAGACACCUGCGGCGGCGGCGACCCCCGGCGGCGCGGCGAUGUGGCCUUUGGUGGCGGCGCUGUUGCUGGGCUCGGCGUGCUGCGGUUCAGCUCAGCUAAUAUUUAAUAAAACCAAAUCUGUAGAAUUUACCUUUUGCAAUGAAACUGUUGUCAUCCCAUGCUUUGUUAUAAAUGUGGAGGCGGUGAACACUAUGGAAAUGUAUGUGAAGUGGAAAUUUAAAGGAAAAUACAUUUUUAUCUACGAUGGAGGGCAAAAUAAGUCUACUGCCGAAAAUGACUUUUCGAGUGCAAAAAUUGCAGUCUCAGAAUUACUAAAAGGGGAUGCCUCUUUGAAGAUGGAUAAGCGUGAUGCCGUCGUAGGAAACUACACAUGUGAAGUAACAGAAUUAAGCAGAGAAGGGGAAACAACGGUAGAACUGAAGUACCGUGUUGUUUCAUGGUUUUCUCCAAAUGAAAAUAUUCUCAUUGUUAUUUUCCCAAUUUUGGCUAUACUUCUGUUCUGGGGACAGUUUGGGAUUUUAACACUUAAAUAUAAAUCCAAUCGUACGAACAAGAAAAUCAUUCUUUUGCUUAUUGCUGGCCUGCUACUCACCGUAAUUGUCAUUGUUGGAGCCAUCCUUUUUGUCCCAGGUGAAUAUUCAAUAAAGAAUGCUUCUGGACUUGGUUUCAUUGUAAUUUCUACAGGGAUAUUAAUAUCACUUCAGUAUAAUGUGUUUAUGACAGCUUUUGGGAUGACCUCCUUCACUGUUGCCAUAUUGAUCACUCAGGUGCUGGGCUACGUCCUCGCAGUGGUCGGACUGUGUCUCUGUAUCAUGGCCUGUGUCCCAGUGCAUGGCCCUCUUCUGAUUUCAGGUUUGGGUAUCAUAGCUCUAGCAGAAUUACUUGGACUAGUUUAUAUGAAAUUUGUGGAGUUCAGAGAGACACCUUCGGUCAGUUGAAAGGCAAGAAGAGAAAAGCUUCCAAUCAAAAGACUAUACAACCUCCCAGGAAAGCUGUAGAGGAACCACUUAAUGAAUAACUGAAAUGAAGUGAUGGACUCCGAUUUGGAGAGCAGGAAGACGUGAAAGGAAUACACUUGUGUUUACGCACCAUGGCCUUGAUGAUUCACUCUUGUGGAGAAGAAAACAAGUAACUGGUUUUCAUCUAUGGGAGAACAUAAGUCAUUGACCCUUAAGUGAUUGUUACAGUUAAGUUUUUAUUCAAAGCAGCUGUAAUUUAGUUAAUAAAAGAACCAUGAUUUGUGUUGUGUGCCCGAUUGA